RNAcentral lists this ribosomal RNA (459 nucleotides) under uncultured bacterium. Its description in RNAcentral is "partial 16S ribosomal RNA". It matches the Rfam family "Bacterial small subunit ribosomal RNA", at positions 338 to 795 of the family's 1533-position model. The record is from RNAcentral.
CCUACGGGUGGCAGCAGUGAGGAAUAUUGGUCAAUGGCCGGAAGGCUGAACCAGCCAAGCCGCGUGAGGGAGUAAGGCGCAGAGCGUCGUAGACCUCUUUUGCCGGGGGACAAAAGGCCGGCCUCUUCCGGUCCUGAGGUUACCCGGAGAAAAAGCAUCGGAUAACUCCGUGCCAGCAGCCGCGGUAAUACGGAGGAUGCGAGCGUUAUCCGGAUUCAUGGGGUUUAAAGGGUGCGCAGGCGGACCUUUAAGCCGGCGGUGAAAUCGCGGGGCUCAACCCCGCCGAGCCGUUGGACCUGGGGGCCUUGAGUGCGGCGGAGGCAUGCGGAAUGCGCGGUGUAGCGGUGAGAUGCAUAGAUAUCGCGCAGAACCCCGAUUGCGAAGGCAGCGUGCCGUGCCGCCACUGACGCUGAGGCACGAAAGCGCGGGGAUCGAACAGGAUUAGAUACCCGGGUAGUC